This 121-nucleotide small nucleolar RNA is filed under the name Castor canadensis (American beaver). Its description in RNAcentral is "Small nucleolar RNA SNORA33 (ENSCCNG00000016924.1)". Lineage: Eukaryota; Metazoa; Chordata; Mammalia; Rodentia; Castoridae. The record is from RNAcentral.
AAACUAGGAGUGUCCCUGAAGGUAUUUUUUUCAGAUACUUAGAAAAAGCUGGCAAUAGAAAUACUAUGUUACAAACUGGAAGGACAUUGAAGUCAUUAAGUUCUUUUAAAUGGCUACAAAA